CCAAAGGCAAUCAAAAUCCGAAACCCUCCGGAAGCCACGCAAACCCGUUCCCGUCUCAAGGCAGUCCUCUUCUGAGGAACGUUCAAUCUUUCCAUACCCACGUGAAUCCGAAGAAGUGUUAUCUCUGUUCCAAGUAGAAUCACCCGGUCCGACUCUGUCCGCAUUUCCUCCAAAUGGAAGUUGAAGCACGUUUAAGCUGCAUCAAGACGAAGCAGUUGUGCUUAAACUGUUUUGCCCGAAGUCACCAGCUACGAGAGUGCACCAGCCCACAUAAUUGUUUCACGUAUGGAGCCCGUCACCAUACGCUGCUGCAUCGCGGUACUCCUGCAUCCAGUGAGUCGUCCACAUCCGCGCAAAGUCCCAAUUCGUCCGACGUUCAGCCCACCGUGCAAAAUUACUUCACCUCGGGCACCAGGCCUGUUCUUCUAGGCACGGCAAUAAUUAACAUUUGCCACCUGCGGACUAAUUUCCGCGCACGCGCUCUAAUCGACUCGGGCUCCGAGGCUAAGUUCAUUACGGAACGCCUUUUUAACAUCAUCAAACCACCAUUCCGCCUUAUUCAGGCACAAGUCUCAGGCCUGAGUCAGUCGGUAGCAGCUCAGUCCAAGAAGCUCUGCCACUUUUCCAUUCGCUCCCCGACUAUGCUAUGCAGUUAAAGGCUUACGUACUGCCGGAACUGGCGGGCAAUCUCCCUUCAUAUCCAAUUCCGCUAAGUGCAUUACGAGAUUUGCCGAACUUACCAUUAGCUGAUCCCACCUUCUAUGAGAGCUCGCAGAUAGAUGUCCUGAUCGGAGCCGAUAUCCUUCCCUCCAGGAAACGAUUUUCGGGUGGUUGCUUACUGGUCCGGUGAGCAGUACCUCCCCAAACCAAAUCGCAUCUUUCUCCACACAAGUGUCCAACGUCCUCGAUGCUACAUUAGACAAGCUUCUCACAAAGUUUUGGGAGGUGGAGGAUCUACCAACCAAUGUAGUAGAAGAGUCCGAUUCCUAUUGCGAAAGCAACUUCCUACAAACGACUCCACGACUCCACCAACUACUAUCUCCCUCACCACGCAGUGAUCAAACCCGAUAGCACUACAGCGAAGCUUCGUGUGGUGUUUAACGCAUCCAGCCCAUCCGCGAACGGAACGAGCUUGAGUGACCUCCUUCACGCGGGCUACAAUCCGAUUUGACCCUUCAGAUUCGGAAAUGGCGCUACUUUCGAUAUGCCGACAUAUCGGCGACCAUUCCUAGGCGACCCUUUCGCCGACAUCACCAAAAUGUACCAUCAGAUUUGGGUGGAUCCAGAACAACCUUGUUUCGAAACGCAGAGGGGGAAAUUCGUGAUUACGAUUUGAAACCCGUCACUGCGCCCUCUUUCUCGCCAUUCGAGUUCUUCAACAGCUUUCCAACGACGUUUAAUCGCAAUUCCCUAGGGCUAGUCAUAUCAUUCGGCACUUUAUGUACGUCGACGAUGUCCUAGCCGGCGCUGACUCCACCCAGGAGGCUAAGCUAGCGCUGUAGGAAACGCAGGACGUACGCGCGGACGUACGCGCGACCGCAAAUUACAAGCCGCCCUCAGUUCGGCAUGUUUUCCGCUACGAAAGUGAACAGCCAACCACAAGGACGUAUUGGCCGAGAUUCCGAGUGGCCACCUCCUCCAUAAUGAUUUCCUGGAGAUUGACGCACAGAGCACGGCAAAGACUCUCGGAAUUCGUUGGAAGGCCACCUCCGACGAGUUCUUCUUUGUUCCUCCCGUGCUCUCGCUUACGCCAUCCUACACCAAGCGAGAAGUCCUAUCGCAGAUAGCAGGGUGGCUGGCACCGUUCAUAGUCCGCUCCAAGAUCUUCAUGCAGGAAAUUUGGUUGCAGGAACUGGAGUGGGACGAGAACCUUCCGAACGAACUGUGUCAAUACUGGCAAGCCUUCCUGCUUAGCUACUCCUGUCUCACCACGAUCCGUAUCCCAAGAUGGAUUGGUUCCCGACCAUCCGUUAAGGUGGAGCACCAUGGGUUCUGUGAUGCCUCGGAAAUGACUUACGGCGCCGCGAUUUAUGUACGCGUUGAGAUGGACCAGCGUACCGACGUGCAUCUAUUGACAGCUAAGACACGAGUUGCGCCCGUAAAAACCGUAUCGCUUCCCCGGUUAGAGCUGUGCGGUGGCGUGCUUCUAGCCGAAAUGGCGACGGCUAUCCUGCCAAGUAUGCCGACGACAGGGUCUACCGUUUACUACUGGACAGAUACCACAAUCGUCGUCGUCUGGUUGAACAAGCCUGCAUGCCUCAUGUUCGCUCCGAGCACAAUCCGGCGGCCUUAGCCAGUCGGGGGGUUUCUCUACAGGAUCUGGUUGACAACCGUCUCUGGUGGUAUGGGCCCGCUUGGUUACAGCAACCACGUUCUCAAUGGCCGCUCCAAGAUCAGGAAACCCCCGUCAUAAACCUAGAGCAGCUGGCUGUGAAAGUCCAUUUCACAACCAGCCCAUCCGAAGAUAUCCUCGAGCGAUUCUCCACGCUUGAAAAAAGUCUGCGAGUCCGCGCGUACGUCCUGCGUUUCCUACAGCGCUGCCGAAAACUACCGUACGCACAGGAUACCCAUCCUACAAGCGGAGAAGUUAACGAGGCUGAACGAACUCUUGACCUAGAAACUCAGCUGAACACUCAACACUGAAUUUGAAUCCGUUCAUGGAUCAAUAUGGGGUCAUACGCUUCUGCGACCGUGUAUCAACGGCGCAAGCACUGAAGGAUGACGAGCGAAAUUCUUCCGUAUAGUUGUCGUUUGUCGCGACUCCUCACGCAGUUCACACACCGGAUCACUCUUCACAGAGGCAGCCAAUUGAUGGUGCCAUUUAUCCGAUCCAAGUAUUGGAUUCCACGGAUUCCGAAGCUGAUGAAGGGUGUCGUGAACUCUUGCAAAGUGUGCAUUAUCCACAAAAAAAAGUUGCAAACUGAUGAGGGAUCUCCGCAGGGAGCGAACUUCAUUCUCCCGACCUUUCACGCACACCGGAAUUGACUACGCCGGUCCUUUUGAAAUCCGAAACUACUACCCCGAAGGGGGGGGGGGGGGGGGGGGGGGGGGGGGGGGGGGGGGGGGGGGGGGGGGGGGGAGUUAAUGGCGACUGUGGAGCCAGAAGUUAACGGGUGACCUCACAUCGAUCAUAAAUCGAUAGCAACAUCUAAAGGCACUCAACCAACAGUUCUGUCAUAGAUGGCACAAGCGGAACAAAUGGCAAACGCAAACGCCAGAUUGGUGAUAUGGUCGUCGUCAAGGAGGACAACCUUCCGUCUAAAUAAUGGCGUCUCUGACGAAUCCAGUCCGUGUACCCCGGCGCCGACGAUCGGGUCCGUGUAGUCGACAUCCUCAGUGCACGGGGGUCCUUAAAAUGCCGGUCGCAAAGGUCGCUCUUCUGUCCAUAGAACUUCCUCGCUCCAUCCAAAAUUAACGAAGAGCGUGCGUGUCCCCCGCUUCCUAUCUCGCUACUAACCCUUCUCCGAUUCUUUUUUUUUCUUUUCUUUGGCCAUAGUUUUCCGUACUCAGAGAUGGCUCCACGGUCUCGUGACACCCGCACUUCGGAGAGUAGACGUUCUCGAGGUAUUAACUCCUACCGUUGCAGAGUCUGCUCCGGAAUCCAUCCGCUACGUGCCUGCCGAAGCUUUCUUCCCCUAAACGCCGAGAAGAGACUCCGAGCCGUCUUGAUUACCAAGUACAAGUAACAAGAUGUUGAGAGUAGCAGCAGCGAGUUAGCAGCAGGCUGCUACACUCCCUACACUCUCCUUCUUGCCUGGCGCUCGCGAGCUGGCUUGCAGCCAUUCGCUAAGCUGUCUUCAGUAUUCUACCCACCCCCGUACAUUCCGGUACACGCGAGUCGAUACAAAAGGAAUUCUACAUCCACACAUACAUCCAUACAUACACAAACACAUACCUUUCUACACCCGCGCCGUUUCGAGUGGAUAAUAAACCACCAUAAUAUCGAAUAUACUGUGCCUCUUCAUUUCUGGACGCUCGGGUUUCCCGAGGACUUAUCUGCAGCGACAGGAGCCGCCCUCCUACAAUCAGACCGAGAUACUCUAGAUAUAACAAAAAAACAACAGCACCAAGAAAUAUCAAACACUGAAAAUUUUAAAUUAAUAC
Molecule: long non-coding RNA, 4104 nt
Filed under: Drosophila guanche
Lineage: Eukaryota; Metazoa; Arthropoda; Insecta; Diptera; Drosophilidae
Source: RNAcentral